GACGAACGCUGGCGGCGUGCCUAAUACAUGCAAGUAGAACGCUGAAGGAGGAGCUUGCUUCUCUGGAUGAGUUGCGAACGGGUGAGUAACGCGUAGGUAACCUGCCUGGUAGCGGGGGAUAACUAUUGGAAACGAUAGCUAAUACCGCAUAAUAGUAGAUGUUGCAUGACAUUUGCUUAAAAGUUUCAGUUGCAUCACUACCAGAUGGACCUGCGUUGUAUUAGCGUGUUGGUGGGGUAAAGGCUCACCAAGGCGACGAUACAUAGCCGACCUGCGAUGGGGAGCGGCCACCCUGGGACGGGGACACGGCCCAGACUGCCACGGGAAGCAGCAGUAGGGAAACUUCGGCAAGCGACGGAAGUCUGACCGCGAAACGCCGAGGGAGUGAGGAAGGUUGUCGGAUCGGAAAGCUCUGUUGUAAGAGAAGAAAGCGUGUGAGAGUGGAAAGUUCACACUGUGACGGUAACUGACAAGAAAGGAACGGCUAACUACGUG
Molecule: ribosomal RNA, 495 nt
Filed under: uncultured bacterium
Lineage: Bacteria
Description: partial 16S ribosomal RNA
Rfam family: Bacterial small subunit ribosomal RNA
Source: RNAcentral